CCUCUGCCCAGCAGAACGACCCGCGAACCAGUCCCUCGGCCCAUGCUGCGGCGGCGCGGGGCGCUAGCCCCUCGCCCCCCGGCGAGCCGUGGGGGGGCGGCCCUUGCGGCGCCCCUCCUCGGCUCACGAACAAAACCCCCGGCGCUGGACGCGCCAAGGACCCAAGGAAACAAAAGGGGGCGCCCCCUCGGACCGGGAACGGCGCGUGGGGCGCUUCCUCUUUCGCUGCGAGCGAAACGAA
This 241-nucleotide ribosomal RNA is filed under the name Neoptychocarpus apodanthus. Lineage: Eukaryota; Viridiplantae; Streptophyta; Magnoliopsida; Malpighiales; Salicaceae. The record is from RNAcentral.